RNAcentral lists this ribosomal RNA (369 nucleotides) under uncultured bacterium. RNAcentral describes it as "bacterial SSU rRNA". It matches the Rfam family "Bacterial small subunit ribosomal RNA", at positions 29 to 395 of the family's 1533-position model. The record is from RNAcentral.
AUUGAACGCUGGCGGCAUGCCUUACACAUGCAAGUCGAACGGCAGCACGGGGGCAACCCUGGUGGCGAGUGGCGAACGGGUGAGUAACACAUCGGAACGUACCCGGUGGGUGGGGGAUAGCCCGGCGAAAGCCGGGAUUAAUACCGCAUACGACCUACGGGUGAAAGCGGGGGAUCGUAAGACCUCGCGCUAUCGGAGCGGCCGAUGUCAGAUUAGGUUGUUGGUGGGUAAAGGCCUACCAAGCCGANGAUCUGUAGCUGGUCUGAGAGGACGACCAGCCACACUGGGACUGAGACACGGCCCAGACUCCUACGGGAGGCGAGCAGGUGGGGAAGUUUUGGACAAUGGGCGCAAGCCUGAUCCAGCCAU